UACAGAGGGUGCAAGCGUUGUUCGGAAUUAUUGGGCGUAAAGGGCGCGUAGGCGGUGCGGUAAGUCUGUAGUGAAAUCUCUGGGCUCAACUCAGAGUCUGCUGCAGAAACUGCCGUGCUUGAGUGUGGGAGAGGUGAGUGGAAUUCCCGGUGUAGCGGUGAAAUGCGUAGAUAUUGGGAAGAACACCGGUGGCGAAGGCGGCGCUCUGGACCGAGACUGACGCUGAGGCGCGAAAGCGUGGGGAGCAAACAGG
This 253-nucleotide ribosomal RNA is filed under the name uncultured bacterium. Its description in RNAcentral is "partial 16S ribosomal RNA". It matches the Rfam family "Bacterial small subunit ribosomal RNA", at positions 524 to 776 of the family's 1533-position model. The record is from RNAcentral.